GGUUGAUCCUGCCAGUAGUCAUAUGCUUGUCUAAAAGAUUAAGCCAUGCAUGUCUAAGUAUAAACAACUUUAUACUGUAAAACUGCGAACGGCUCAUUAUAUCAGCAAUAAUUUAUUUGAUGUUUAUUUGCUACAUGGAUAACUGUAGUAAUUCUAGAGCUAAUACAUGCGUAAAGUCCUGACUCUCACGGGGAGGGAUGUAUUUAUUAGAUAAAAAACCAAUGCGGGUUAUGCUCGCUAUUGUGUCGAAUCAUAGUAAACAAUCCAACGGUACGGCCUUGUGCUGACCGUGG
This 293-nucleotide ribosomal RNA is filed under the name uncultured eukaryote. Its description in RNAcentral is "partial 18S ribosomal RNA". It matches the Rfam family "Eukaryotic small subunit ribosomal RNA", at positions 6 to 293 of the family's 1831-position model. The record is from RNAcentral.